GAUAAACGCUGGCGGCGCACAUAAGACAUGCAAGUUGAACGGACUUAAUCGAAAUAUUUAUAUUUUGAAGCGGUUAGUGGCGGACUGGUGAGUAACGCGUAAGGAACCUGCCUAUUAGAGGGGAAUAACAGUGAGAAAUCAUUGCUAAUACCGCAUAUGCCAUAGAUAUCACAUGAUAACAGUGGGAAAGGAGCAAUCCGCUAAUAGAUGGCCUUGCGUCUGAUUAGAUAGUUGGUGGGGUAACGGCCUACCAAGUCGACGAUCAGUAGCCGGACUGAGAGGUGGGACGGACACAUUGGGAAUGAGAUACGGCCCAGACUCCUACGGGAGGCAGCAGGCGGGAAUAUUGCGCAAUGGAGGAAACUCUGACGCAGUGACGCCGCGUAUAGGAAGAAGGUUUUCGGAUUGUAAACUAUUGUCGUUAGGGAAGAGAAAGGACAGUACCUAAGGAGGAAGCUCCGGCUAACUACGUG
This 473-nucleotide ribosomal RNA is filed under the name uncultured bacterium. RNAcentral describes it as "partial 16S ribosomal RNA". It matches the Rfam family "Bacterial small subunit ribosomal RNA", at positions 28 to 507 of the family's 1533-position model. The record is from RNAcentral.